Neopsephotus bourkii (Bourke's parrot) is the source of this 450-nucleotide long non-coding RNA. RefSeq lists it as uncharacterized. NCBI's taxonomy places the organism in Eukaryota, Metazoa, Chordata, Aves, Psittaciformes, Psittacidae. The record is from RefSeq and is a predicted model, not a curated record. The transcript is spliced from 3 exons.
GAUUCAAAGCUGCCUGAGCAGAGACUGUGGCAAGGAAUGCUAUGUAGUCAGUCUGCUCCUCGCUGCUAAAAUCAGCAGAAAUCUCCUAUCUCUGCCUGGGCUGGCCUGUCCAUCUGUUCUGAUGGCUUCUUUUAUCACCAGCAGCCAUGUGAAGAAUGACCACAUUAAAAGGUUAUUUCCAAAUGAGAUUGGGGCGCAUCCAGACAACAGCUUCUCUCAUUGGAAGGCAGUCAUUGGGAAUGUGAGGGAGGGAUAUGCCACUUGUCCUCAUGGGUCGUUGGAUCUAGUCUGCAGUUCCAAUGGCUAAAGUUACACAGAGAAACCCCCUAGCUGGAGGCCUGAAAUCAGAAAAGGAAAAGGUAUUGGGUUGAAAAUCAUCAAAAUGAGGCAAUUUUGACUUUUCCCACAUAUAAUUCCUGCUUGUAAUAAGGAAUUAACCUGUGAAAAAUU